CCUGGCGACUAUAGCGAUUUGGAACCACCUGAUACCAUCUCGAACUCAGAAGUGAAAUAUUUCCGCGCCAAUGAUAGUGUGAGGCUUCCUCAUGCGAAAGUAGGUCAUCGCCAGGG
Molecule: ribosomal RNA, 116 nt
Filed under: Legionella pneumophila
Lineage: Bacteria; Pseudomonadati; Pseudomonadota; Gammaproteobacteria; Legionellales; Legionellaceae
Also listed under: 2 other names
Source: RNAcentral